Molecule: ribosomal RNA, 369 nt
Filed under: Dendrothele sp. CFMR FP110206
Lineage: Eukaryota; Fungi; Basidiomycota; Agaricomycetes; Agaricales
Description: SSU rRNA
Rfam family: Bacterial small subunit ribosomal RNA
Source: RNAcentral
UGCAAGAAAGAUGAUGUUAGCAUAUUUUAAAGUGCUGUCCAAGAAUCUCGUGCCAGAAGACUCGGUAAUGCGAGAAGCGCAAACGUUAGUCGUAGAAUCUAGAAUCAGAUCGGGGAUAAUCAAAAUAAUACUCAGUUUAGGGCCUAUAUCCAUAGAAAUUGAGGGGAAUACUAAUAGGUGAAAGCUUUUUAUCUAAAACUGAUUGACGCUGAGAAACGAAGGUAGGAAUAGGAAAUAGGAUUUGAUACCCAGAUACCUCCUACUGUCAACGAUGAAUGGUGGCUGUCAGAUCCUGGUGGCGAUGCUAACGCGAUUACCAUUCCGCCUUGCGAGUACGGUUGCAAAACUGAAAUCAAAAAAAUUAGUCGG